This 189-nucleotide small nucleolar RNA is filed under the name Cercocebus atys (sooty mangabey). RNAcentral's name for it is "Small nucleolar RNA SNORA81 (ENSCATG00000003864.1)". It matches the Rfam family "Small nucleolar RNA SNORA81", at positions 1 to 146 of the family's 179-position model. Lineage: Eukaryota; Metazoa; Chordata; Mammalia; Primates; Cercopithecidae. The record is from RNAcentral.
ACCUUCUUGUUUAAGCUCUCUACUAAAAUUCCAGAAACUAGUAUCAUGUCUUAGCAUUUGUAAUAAAGCUAUCAGAGAAAAGCCAAGAAGAAAAAAGAACUGUACCAGAUAGAAAAAUUGAGUUGAACCUUUUUUUUUAGACGGAGUCUCACUCUGUCACCCAGGCUGGAGUGUAGUGGCGCAAUCUCA